GAGUUUGAUCUUGGCUCAGAGUGAACGCUGGCGGCAGGCCUAACACAUGCAAGUCGAACGGCAGCACAGUCCCGCAAGGGAUGGGUGGCGAGUGGCGGACGGGUGAGGAAUACAUCGGAAUCUACCUUGUCGUGGGGGAUAACGUAGGGAAACUUACGCUAAUACCGCAUACGACCUACGGGUGAAAGCGGCGGACCGCAAGGCGUCGCGCGAUUGGAUGAGCCGAUGUCCGAUUAGCUAGUUGGCGGGGUAAGAGCCCACCAAGGCGACGAUCGGUAGCUGGUCUGAGAGGAUGAUCAGCCACACUGGAACUGAGACACGGUCCAGACUCCUACGGGAGGCAGCAGUGGGGAAUAUUGGACAAUGGGCGCAAGCCUGAUCCAGCCAUGCCGCGUGUGUGAAGAAGGCCUU
RNAcentral lists this ribosomal RNA (411 nucleotides) under uncultured Gammaproteobacteria bacterium. Its description in RNAcentral is "bacterial SSU rRNA". It matches the Rfam family "Bacterial small subunit ribosomal RNA", at positions 9 to 418 of the family's 1533-position model. The record is from RNAcentral. Lineage: Bacteria; Pseudomonadati; Pseudomonadota; Gammaproteobacteria.